UUUCGCAAUGCCCGAAAGGGUGACGAAGCGACGCCGCGUGUGGGAAGAAGGCCUUCGGGUUGUAAACCACUGUCGGGAGUUAAGAAAUGCAAGGAUAUUAAUAGUGUCUUUGUUUGACUAAGGCUCCGGAGGAAGCCACGGCUAACUCUGUGCCAGCAGCCGCGGUAAUACAGAGGCGGCAAGCGUUGUUCGGAAUUAUUGGGCGUAAAGAGCACGUAGGCGGCUAUGUAAGUCGGUUGUGGAAGCCUUCCGCUCAACGGAAGAACAGCAUCCGAUACUACAUGGCUUGAGUGCGGGAGGGGAGAGUGGAACUUCUGGUGGAGCGGUGAAAUGCGUAGAUAUCAGAAGGAACGCCGGCGGCGAAAGCGGCUCUCUGGCCCAUAACUGACGCUGAGUGUGCGAAAGCUAGGGGAGCAAACGGGAUUAGAUACCCCGGUAGUCCUAGCCGUAAACGAUGGGCACUAAGUAGAGGGGUU
Molecule: ribosomal RNA, 476 nt
Filed under: uncultured Planctomycetales bacterium
Lineage: Bacteria; Pseudomonadati; Planctomycetota; Planctomycetia; Planctomycetales
Description: bacterial SSU rRNA
Rfam family: Bacterial small subunit ribosomal RNA
Source: RNAcentral